UUCCGGUUGAUCCUGCCGGAGGUCACUGCUAUUGGGAUUCGAUUAAGCCAUGCGAGUCGAGAGGGUUCGGCCCUCGGCUGACUGCUCAGUAACACGUGGAUAAUCUGCCCUUGGGUGGAGAAUAAUCUCGGGAAACUGAGAAUAAUACUCCAUAGAUCUAGGAGGCUGGAAUGCAUCUAGGUUGAAAGCUUCGGCGCCUAAGGAUGAGUCUGCGGGCUAUUAGAUUGUAGUCAGGGUAAUGACCUGACUAGUCUACGAUGGCUACGGGUUGUGAGAGCAAUCGCCCGGAGAUGAUAUCUGAGACACGAUAUCAGGUCCUACGGGAUGCAGCAGGCGCGAAAACUUCACACUGUGCGAAAGCACGAUGAGGGAAUCCCAAGUGCCAGCUCGUAAGAGUUGGCUGUUUUUUUGUCUAAAAAACAGAGAGAGUAAGAGCUGGGUAAGACGGGUGCCAGCCGCCGCGGUAAUACCUGCAGCUCGAGUGGUGACCGCUAUUAUUGGGCCUAAAACGUUCGUAGCCGGUUUCGUAAAUGCUUGGGUAAAUCGUUUGGCUUAACCAAACGAAUUCCGGGUAGACUACGAGACUUGAGAUCGGGAGAGGCUAGAGGUACUCCUGGGGUAGAGGUGAAAUUCUGUAAUCCUGGGGGGACCACCAGUGGCGAAGGCGUCUAGCUAGAACGAGUCUGACGGUGAGGAACGAAGCCCUGGGGCGCAAACGGGAUUAGAUACCCCGGUAGUCCAGGGUGUAAACGCUGCUCGCUUGAUGUUAGAUAGGCUCCGAGCCUAACUAGUGUCGGAAAGAAGUUGUUAAGCGAGCUGCCUGGGGAGUACGGUCGCAAGGCUGAAACUUAAAGGAAUUGGCGGGGGAGCACAGCAACGGGAGGAGCGUGCGGUUUAAUUGGACUCAACGCCGGA
Molecule: ribosomal RNA, 915 nt
Filed under: uncultured archaeon
Lineage: Archaea
Description: bacterial SSU rRNA
Rfam family: Archaeal small subunit ribosomal RNA
Source: RNAcentral